RNAcentral lists this ribosomal RNA (836 nucleotides) under Cylindrosporium sp. KP-2020a. RNAcentral describes it as "partial large subunit ribosomal RNA". The record is from RNAcentral. Lineage: Eukaryota; Fungi; Ascomycota; Leotiomycetes; Helotiales.
CGGCGAGUGAAGCGGUAACAGCUCAAAUUUGAAAGCUAGCUCUUCUAGGGUUCGCAUUGUAAUUUGUAGAAGAUGCUUCGGGUGUGGCCCCGGUCUAAGUUCCUUGGAACAGGACGUCAKAGAGGGUGAGAAUCCCGUAUGUGACUGGGUGCUUUCGCUCAUGUGAAGCUCUUUCGACGAGUCGAGUUGUUUGGGAAUGCAGCUCAAAAUGGGUGGUAAAUUUCAUCUAAAGCUAAAUAUUGGCCAGAGACCGAUAGCGCACAAGUAGAGUGAUCGAAAGAUGAAAAGCACUUUGGAAAGAGAGUUAAACAGUACGUGAAAUUGUUGAAAGGGAAGCGCUUGCAACCAGACUUGCGCGCUGACGAUCAUCCGGGCUUCUGCCCGGUGCACUCGUCUGCGCUCAGGCCAGCAUCGGUUUCGGUGGUGGGAUAAAGGCCUUGGGAAUGUAGCUCCUCUCGGGGAGUGUUAUAGCCCUCGGUGCAAUGCCGCCUACCGGGACCGAGGACCGCGCUUCGGCUAGGAUGCUGGCGUAAUGGUUGUAAGCGACCCGUCUUGAAACACGGACCAAGGAGUCUAACAUCUAUGCGAGUGUUUGGGUGUCAAACCCAUACGCGUAAUGAAAGUGAACGGAGGUGAGAACCCUUAAGGGUGCAUCAUCGACCGAUCCUGAUGUCUUCGGAUGGAUUUGAGUAAGAGCAUAGCUGUUGGGACCCGAAAGAUGGUGAACUAUGCGUGAAUAGGGUGAAGCCAGAGGAAACUCUGGUGGAGGCUCGCAGCGGUUCUGACGUGCAAAUCGAUCGUCAAAUUUGCGUAUAGGGGCGAAAGACUAAUCGAAC